Non-coding RNA from Gossypium arboreum, 145 nucleotides. The record is from Rfam. Lineage: Eukaryota; Viridiplantae; Streptophyta; Magnoliopsida; Malvales; Malvaceae.
UGUUAAAAAUUUCAUUAAUUUUUAAUUUUAAAAACUGGUAUAGCUGAUAAAAUAAUUAGAUAAUGAAAUGUGGUGCAACACAUGUACCUCAUGUUGACGUACAAAAACUAUUUUUUAACAGUAGAAAUAGAUGAAUUUUUUAACU